UGGAACAACAUGGCCUCAGGCUUACUGA
This 28-nucleotide small RNA is filed under the name Bombyx mori (domestic silkworm). RNAcentral's name for it is "ovarian small RNA-34412". Lineage: Eukaryota; Metazoa; Arthropoda; Insecta; Lepidoptera; Bombycidae. The record is from RNAcentral.